This 698-nucleotide long non-coding RNA is filed under the name Phasianus colchicus (ring-necked pheasant). RNAcentral describes it as "lncRNA (ENSPCLG00000022340.1)". The record is from RNAcentral. Lineage: Eukaryota; Metazoa; Chordata; Aves; Galliformes; Phasianidae.
AUCAUUUCAAACACAGUUUGUAGAGUAAAAGACAAUACAUUUUGGUCAAACAGGCAAGUCAUACUUAAAGAUGAUCAUAUAAAUGAAAAUAUAAUCAUUUUACAGGGUUCACCUUCCAGAGGCAGCCAAUCUGGUGGACAGGGUGGAUGUGAUUGCUCUGGUGCAAGUUCUAGUGGAUCAUCUUCCUCACUCAGAAGUAAUUCCUCUUCAAAUGACACAUCUUAUUCUGGAGGAAGCCGUUACAGUAGCUAUGAUUCCACCUCGCCAUCUUACAACCGUCAGAAUGAACGGGAGUCGUAUUCUUCUGGAGCUAGUCAAUAUGGUGGACAAGGAUCACCAUCUUAUGGAAGCAGCCAUUAUGGUGGACAAGGUUCACCUUACUCGGGAGGCAGCCAGUAUGGAGGACAGGGUCCAUCUUCCUCAGGUGGCAGCCAGUAUGGAGGACAGGUGAGAACUGGUUUUUCCUACAUAUGGGUUGUUGUUCAGUUGUUCAUCUUUUCCUUCUUUUCUGUGAAAAACAAGGUCCUUUGUAAAGGCUUGGCUUAAAGCAAAGCACUGUUCAUGCAGAACGGGUGAAUGUGACACCUUCUGUGUCAGCCCAUGCAGGAAAAUGAAACACACAAAUCUGCCCUGAGCAGUGAGUCACUUGCAGAUGGGCCAUGCACAGUUGCCUGAAGCUGCCUUUAAUUUAAACUUUC